This is a non-coding RNA of Rattus norvegicus (Norway rat), 2306 nucleotides long. The record is from RefSeq and is a predicted model, not a curated record. NCBI's taxonomy places the organism in Eukaryota, Metazoa, Chordata, Mammalia, Rodentia, Muridae.
ACUACGAUUUUUGAUGGAAUAUUUACAUGGAUUGUGCCUAACUAGGUCAAGAAUAUAUGAUCCACAAAUGACAAUGCCAAAUAGACUCCCUCCUGUUCUCAUAACAUACUGAAGUUGAGGUUUCACUGGACCUCAAGCCAUUCCUCUUGCUGCCCAUCACCCAGAAACUAAUGUUUGGCCUGAAGGAAGAAUCAUGGUAAAACAUCCAAAAUCAUCAAGUCUUUCCCUGGACAAACAGGAAGGUGCGCCGAGCUCUUGGAGAAGUUGCUGAACAUCCUAAAGACUUUUGGGCAGAUGGAAAAGGGCUUGUCUGUCAAAUGCUUUUCAAUCGCCAAGAAGUUUGAGGUACCUGGAGAAUGCUUCCUCCUGUUCAUCCUCAUCCUGCUCUCAUGGCCUUUGUUAUCUGCACCAGUCCAUCUCUACACACCCCCAUGUACAUUUUUCUGAUGAACUUACGUAUCCUGAAAUUUGGUUACACUAGUUCUGUCAUACACAAUAUAUGGAGAGACUUGAAAGUGAGAUCUGAGGAAUCUCUCAGGAGGGAUGUGCCACACAGACGUUUUUCUUCACACUUUUUGUAUAAUUCAGUGCUGCCUAUUGCCAGCCAUGGCCUUUGUCCACUGUAUGGCCCUGCUUCAUUCUGCAGCCCAAAUGAGUAGUGAGAUGACAGAUAUCCUCCUAAUGCUUACCUGCGAUAAGCGAAGCAAGAAACACUUUGUGGUAUCUGUGUCAAGUACAUAUAAUCUCAACCUAAAAGAGGAAAACCACUGGGCAAAUCCAAAUUCAGAGACAUUCUUGCAAGGUGAAGAAUGGAGUAUCCACAAAUGACAAUACCAAAUAUACUCCCUCCUGUUCUUAUGAGCCUAUUGAGGUUGAGGUUUUACUGGAACUCAAGCCAUUCUUCUCCCUUCUCAUCAUCCCGUAUCUAUUGUUUGGCUUGAAGAAAGUAUCAUUGUAAAACAUCCAAAAGCUUGAAGUCUCACCCUUGGAACACAGGAAGGUAGAUAUUAAAGAAAUAAUAUCUAAUGUGACUACAGAACUGCAUUCUAUAGUCCAUGCUGUCCUUUGAUUCACUGAUGUCAGGUAAUUUCUGCAUUAAAUAAAAAUUUGGGCGUUUAUCAUUUGAAGUAGGUACACAAUAUUUACACUAUUAAAUUCACUCUUUAGCUUGGCCAGCUUUGUUGCGAAAAUCAUUGCAAAAAACUAGAUUUGGAAAACAGAAUUAUUGAGUACACAUUCAGGAAUAUCUAUAAAGUCCCCUAUCAAGGAAUUAACAAUUAGAAAAUUAAAUACAUAAUCCACUCAUUUUAAUAUCUGUAGGGAAACAAUGCCCUUUGGGAAACAGAUAGAACUUAGGAAAUUGAACUGUUUGUCACAGGAAUGGACCUGGUAAUAAAAUUAUCCAGAAGGCUCUCCUACAUCCCAUGUUACUAGGUAUUUUCUACACAUGCCAAGACCCUGAAUAACUUUGUCCAUUCAGAGCAGGUAACCACUCAUAAAGCAAAGGGAACUCUCUAGCAUUAGAGAGAUGUUCUGCAUAAAUGUUUCCACUGUGUCAAAGGAGACACUCCUGGAAAGGGCACCCUAGAAUCUGGUCAAUAUUAAGAAAGAUCUUUAGCAGGUAGGCCAUGGCAAUUCUCAGGGAUAAUGUCAUUAGGCCGUAUCUAAAAAAUCUCUUGCAACCUAGAGAGCCCUAGCUUUUUCUGUGAUAUCAAAAGUAAUGUCGUGACUGCAGCUGCCUCUCAGACAUUCCUUUAGUACCUCUAAGGUUUAUUAAUUGGCCUUUAUUUUAGUUUAAACAGCUAUUUAGGAGGGAGAACAAAUAGGAUGUAGAUAUCAGAGAUGGGGGGAAGGAAGUUGGCCUAAUGUUUUAGUUUAAAAAACGAAGAAAUACAUGGUACAUGGGAAAGCUCUGGGUACUGUGUAGGGGUUGUGAGGGUACACUGAACACAUCGCCUUGAUCUGAACCUUCAACAUAUUGGAUUCAGGAGGUGAGAGCCUCUCAGUUGCAUCUGCAUUUCCUUGCUGGUUAUGGCUCCUGGAAGUCAGAGAUUUUUUAUUAUUAAUUUCUUUAUUCCAAAAGGCAGGGAUUCGGAAGGGUUCAGUUGUUUUUCUGAGAGCUCAUGACUUUCAUUAUUUUUCUCCAUGAGAAAAAGUUCCUAAGGAAGGAGUGAUGACAAGUAUUGUAUCCUCUGCUCAGUGUAAAUUCCUCCUUGCUUUGGAUUCCUAUAGUGCACUUUGUUUCUGACACUGAUAUCUGUGACAGAGAUGUGCAUCUAGCUGCGACAUCAUCAUCUCGGUCUUUC